GGAGGGGUGGCCGAACGGUAAAGGCAGCCGACUUAUAAUCGGUAGGUGGGGUAACUCACUCGAGGGUUCGAAUCCCUCCUCCUGAU
This 86-nucleotide transfer RNA is filed under the name Firmicutes bacterium HGW-Firmicutes-15. Its description in RNAcentral is "tRNA-Ile". It matches the Rfam family "tRNA". Rfam says of the family: Transfer RNA (tRNA) molecules are approximately 80 nucleotides in length. Their secondary structure includes four short double-helical elements and three loops (D, anti-codon, and T loops). The record is from RNAcentral. Lineage: Bacteria; Bacillati; Bacillota.